GUAGGUGGCAAGCGUUGUCCGGAAUUAUUGGGCGUAAAGCGCGCGCAGGCGGUUCUUUAAGUCUGAUGUGAAAGCCCACGGCUCAACCUGGAGGGGUCAUUGGAAACUGGAGGAACUUGAGUACAGAAGAGGAAAGCGGAAUUCCACGUGUAGCGGUGAAAUGCGUAGAGAUGUGGAGGAACACCAGUGGCGAAGGCGGCUUUUCUGGUCUGUAACUGACGCUGAGGCGCGAAAGCGUGGGGAGCAAACAGGGAUUAGAUACCCUGGUAGUCCACGCCGUAAACGAUGAGUGCUAAGUGUUAGGGGGGUUUCCGCCCCCUUAGUGCUGCAGCUAACGCAUUAAGCACUCCGCCUGGGGAUACGGCCGCAAGGCUG
RNAcentral lists this ribosomal RNA (375 nucleotides) under uncultured organism. RNAcentral describes it as "partial 16S ribosomal RNA". It matches the Rfam family "Bacterial small subunit ribosomal RNA", at positions 527 to 896 of the family's 1533-position model. The record is from RNAcentral.